This 253-nucleotide ribosomal RNA is filed under the name uncultured prokaryote. RNAcentral's name for it is "partial 16S ribosomal RNA". It matches the Rfam family "Bacterial small subunit ribosomal RNA", at positions 524 to 776 of the family's 1533-position model. The record is from RNAcentral.
UACAGAGGUGGCAAGCGUUGUUCGGAAUUACUGGGCGUAAAGGGCGCGUAGGCGGCCUUGUAAGUCUCGUGUGAAAGCCCUCGGCUUAACUGAGGAUCUGCACGGGAUACUGCGAGGCUUGAGUUCGGGAGAGGAAAGCGGAAUUCCGGGUGUAGCGGUGAAAUGCGUAGAUAUCGGGAGGAACACCUGUGGCGAAAGCGGCGCACUGGACCAUAACUGACGCUGAGGCGCGAAAGCUAGGGGAGCAAACAGG